CACGUAGGGGGCAAGCGUUGUCCGGAUUUAUUGGGCGUAAAGAGCUCGUAGGUGGCUGAGUAAGUCGGAUGUUAAAUCCCCAGGCUCAACCUGGGACACCACCCGAUACUGCUCUGGCUAGAGUCCGGUAGGGGAGCGUGGAAUUCCUGGUGUGGCGGUGAAAUGCGCAGAUAUCAGGAGGAACACCAGUGGCGAAGGCGGUGCUCUGGGCCGGAACUGACGCUGAGGAGCGAAAGCGUGGGGAGCAAACAGG
RNAcentral lists this ribosomal RNA (253 nucleotides) under uncultured bacterium. Its description in RNAcentral is "partial 16S ribosomal RNA". It matches the Rfam family "Bacterial small subunit ribosomal RNA", at positions 524 to 776 of the family's 1533-position model. The record is from RNAcentral.